This is a long non-coding RNA of Brachypodium distachyon (stiff brome), 1340 nucleotides long. RefSeq lists it as uncharacterized. NCBI's taxonomy places the organism in Eukaryota, Viridiplantae, Streptophyta, Magnoliopsida, Poales, Poaceae. The transcript has 4 exons. The record is from RefSeq and is a predicted model, not a curated record.
UUGUUUCUCUUCUCGAUCGAGAUCUCGGCCGCACGGCCGCACGCGCCGCUCGCCAUCACGCGCCGCCGCCGCCUAGCUAGGUCGCCGCCGCGGGACGCCGCCUCCUCCGACCGCUGCCGUCUAGGUUGCCGCGGCCUAGAUCGUACAUAUCCUCUCCUCGCCAGGACGCGCCGCCGCCGUCUAGGUUGCCGCCGCCUAGAUCGUACAUAUCCUCUGCUCGCCAGGACGCACCGCCGCCGCCUAGCUAGGUCGCCGCCGCCUAGCUAGGACGCCGCCUCAUCCGGCCGCCGCCACCUAGAUCCCCGCCGCGUAGAUCGCCCAUAUCCUCGCUCGCCAAUCGCCUCCACUCACUGCCAACGACCCUGCGGCAUCGGUUGCCUGUCUUCCCCGCUCCCGUCACGAGCCGCCGCUGCCUUCAUUGAGAUCUCCUCGGCCAUCCUCUCCUCCUCGCGACCGACCGAGGGGUUGUCCUCGCUGAGGCCGCCGCCGCACAAGGAGAGGCCGGUUGUCUAAGGCUCCAAGCUCAUGGAUCCGCACCCUUCAUUCCUCUCCUGUCCCCGUGCAACAACUUCCACCAUCCCCAACGAAUCGGCUAAAUAUGGUGCAACAUAUGAUUGAUCAUGGAGUUGGUGUGCCAUCAGAUGUGAAAACAUUCGCUCAAAGGCAAUUCCAACUAAGAAAAAAGAAACAAGGGGGUAUCAGGAGAAUUGUUGCCAUGCUGCAGGUUCAAGAAGUUUUGCGGUUAUUCAAUAUCAGAUGGUGCGUUUGAGGAAUUUAAACAAUAAACUUUGCGUUGCAUUUGUUAAUCAUCAUAUAUACUGUUACAAGAAAUUAAAGAAGGAAGAACUGUGUCUCGAUCAGAGUUAUAUUGUGUUGUCUAUACCAACAAGAAAGGAGAGCCUGUGGAUGCCUAUAUUGCAGGAAAGAUGGUUAAUUCGCAAACGAAGUAGUAACAAUGGAGAUUCACAAACUGGACAAAGAAAGACAACCAAGAGAAGAAGAACUUCCAAUCCGACUACAAGGAAAUCAAGUUCGAAAAAGGACUCACAAGCUAAUGCCUCGAUGGAGAAUGCACUAGUUACACUGGAAUAUUUUGAUAUUGUAGUUGAUCUGGGUUGUUUCUGCUGGUAGCAGUCUUUUGAUGUUGUAGUAACUGUAAUCUGAAUGAUGGGCAGAGUGAACUGCUGAAUCUUUUUGGGAUGCAACUCUGGUACUUUAGAACUGUUGAAGAUACAAUUUAUGGAUGAUAAUGCACUGUUGGGGCACACUAUUUGAAUACUGGUAUAUGUAAUAUUUUGGGGGCAGUUUACUGAAGUGCAUCUGAUUUGUUUAAGGGCAAA